This is a long non-coding RNA of Hypanus sabinus (Atlantic stingray), 1566 nucleotides long. RefSeq lists it as uncharacterized. NCBI's taxonomy places the organism in Eukaryota, Metazoa, Chordata, Chondrichthyes, Myliobatiformes, Dasyatidae. The record is from RefSeq and is a predicted model, not a curated record. The transcript has 3 exons.
CACAAGGCAUUCUUAGGCACUUCCUGGCUUCAUCUCCCAUCACGUCCCAGACACCUGAUGAAGCCACGUUUCCAGUUGGAUCAGCAGGGUCGAGAAUUACUGGUCUGAAAGAUAAACCAUUCCAACAAAGACCUCGUUUAACCUGGACGCCUACGGAGCCAACCACACUGAAGUACAGCAAAUGGCUUCCUCAAUUCCAAGCUCUUUUCCCUCAUGUCACUGGCCGUGCUGGAAGUGAGUUUUAUCUAAAACCCUGCAACGUGAGGACACCAAGGACCAGGGUUGUUUGAUGGUGUGAUUUACGAUGGGUUUCACUACCUCAGAAACCAAUUCCUGUGUUGGAAUUCUGGGCAACGAUCUGUAUCUCUGCAAAUAUUAACCAGUAUUUUCCUAUGUGUCUUGUGAAGAGGAAAUGCAAUUUGAGUAGGAAUAAAAUCUGAGGGAUAAGUGACAAACUUGUUGUUACCAAGAAGUAACAUGAGAGUGAAUAACAUACGGAGAAUUCCAUAAACUGGAGGGGGUCGGGGUUGCUGUUUCUCUCUGAACUGACUUCCAUGGAUUUUCUUUGUUUAACGGUUAUCUGGAGAAGAAAAAUCUCAGAGUUGUAUACUGCAUACGUCCAUUAAAAAAUGACCCUUUCAACCUUGCAACACACACAAAAUGCUGGAGGAUCUCAGCAGGCCAGGCAGCAUCCACAGAAAAGAGUCCUGUGACAUGUUGGGCCGAGACCCUUCAGCAGGACUGGAGAAAGAAAGAUGAGGAGUAGAGUUAAAAGGUGGGGGGAGCGGAGGGAGAAACACAAGGUGAUCGGUAAAACCAGGAGAGGGGAGGGUGAAGGAUCGCAGCUGGGAAGUUGAUUGGUGAAAGACUUACCGGGCUGCAGAGGGGGGAAUUAAUAGGAGAGUACAGCAGGCCGUGGAAGAGAGAAAAGAGGAGAGGAGCACCAGAGGGAGUUGAUUGCUAGACAAGGAGAAAGGCCGAGAGAGGGAAAAGGGGAUGCGGAAUGGCGAAAGGCGGGGGGCCAUUACCAUAAGUUCAAGAAAUUGAUGUUCAUUCCAUCAGGUUGAAGGCUACCCAGACAGAAUAUAAGGUGUUGUUCCUCCAACCUGAGUAUGGCCUCAUUGCAACAGUAGAGGAGGUCACGGAUAGACAUAUCAGAAUGGGAAUGGGAAGUGGAAUUAAAAUGGAUGGCCACUGGGUUGUCCUGCUUUUACUGGCUGAAGGAGUUUAGCCGUUCGGCAAAGCAAUCUUGAAGCUUUUUAGGUGACUGAAAGGAUUACCACUGGUGGAAAAGGAAUGGAGAGGGGACUGGCCCCCUGGCUAGGAGAGGUUGUAGAUGCAGGGUGUGGUGAGGUAAUGGAGGGUAGGUUGUGGCUGGUGAGAACUGAAAAUGAGGGAGAAGGUUUGGAAUUUCAUCACUUCAGGUGAGACAAUGCAGGUUACUUUAGAAUUAGGAACAUUUAGAAGUGCAUUGAAUCAUCUUUAUAUUAUGAUAAGAUUAUUUUUCCCUGUGUUAGACCUGUCUGUACAGGAAUUUGAAACGGAACAUUAACUAAAAUAAAAAAA